UGGGGAAUAUUGGACAAUGGGGGAAACCCUGAUCCAGCCAUGCCGCGUGAGUGAUGAAGGCCUUAGGGUUGUAAAGCUCUUUCGCUGGGGAAGGUAAUGACGGUACCCAGUAAAGAAGCCCCGGCUAACUUCGUGCCAGCAGCCGCGGUAAUACGAAGGGGGCUAGCGUUGUUCGGAAUUACUGGGCGUAAAGCGCACGUAGGCGGGUCGUUAAGUCAGGGGUGAAAUCCCGGAGCUCAACUCCGGAACUGCCCUUGAUACUGGCGAUCUUGAGUUCGAGAGAGGUGAGUGGAAUUCCGAGUGUAGAGGUGAAAUUCGUAGAUAUUGGGAAGAACACCAGUGGCGAAGGCGCUCUACUGGGCCGUAACUGACGCUGAGGGACGAAAGCUAGGGGAGCGAAAGGGAUUAGAUACCCCCGUAGUCC
RNAcentral lists this ribosomal RNA (424 nucleotides) under uncultured prokaryote. RNAcentral's name for it is "bacterial SSU rRNA". It matches the Rfam family "Bacterial small subunit ribosomal RNA", at positions 355 to 796 of the family's 1533-position model. The record is from RNAcentral.